Molecule: long non-coding RNA, 620 nt
Filed under: Medicago truncatula (barrel medic)
Lineage: Eukaryota; Viridiplantae; Streptophyta; Magnoliopsida; Fabales; Fabaceae
Description: long non-coding RNA (MTRU_LNC003243)
Source: RNAcentral
UUUGUUUAUCUUUUUUUUCAACAUGGUGUUGUCCAUCAGGAGUCUUGCUUCUAAAUUAGUAAGAAAACUGCUGUUUCAAGAUAUCGGGGGCAUGGUUUUCUAAGUUGAGGGGCUCUUGAUUGUGUUUGUGCUCUGCUACUUGAUGCAAAUACAAACACUUCACAGUUGUAUGACACUGAAACUGUUGAACCUGUGGUGAAUGGGUUCAGGCUUGGUCAGUUAUCUGGUUUCAGUAAGGAUUUGAUAGAAUGAUUUGGUGUGUAGCGAUUGUGUGACCAGUGUCCCUGAACUGUGACUAACUCUUAAAAUUUGGGUUGGGCCUAACUCAACCUUACAAAACCGGCCUCUUAAGGGCUUUUUUGUUGGCAACAGCUUCAGCAUGGGCUGAUUUUGCAUAAGCAUGUUCAAAGUGGAGACCAGUUAGCUGAUAUUUUCCCUAAAGCUUCGGACAGAAACAGUGUGAAUACUAUGGGUAUGAUUGUUUCAAGGCAUGGAAAUCUAUUCCCAGGAAUAUAUGGAUUGAUAAUGUGCAUUCACAUAUCUGUUACCACGGCUGUUAGGGGUUGACGGUUGUUAUAUGCCCUGGUUUUUAGGAGUCAGUAGCUUAAAGAUCUUCUCCC